AGCAGCCGCGGUAAUUCCAGCUCCAAUAGCGUAUAUUAAAGUUGUUGCAGUUAAAAAGCUCGUAGUUGAAUUUCGGGGUCAAUAAGUUGGUCGUGCCAAUGGUAUGUACUGGCUUUAUUGAUUCCUACCUCUUGACGAACUGUGAUGCCAUUAAUUUGGUGUUGCAGGAAAUCAGGACUGUUACCUUGAAAAAAUUAGAGUGUUUAAAGCAGGCUUACGCUUGAAUACAUUAGCAUGGAAUAAUGAAAUAGGACGUUUGAACCUAUUUUGUUGGUUUCUAGGAUCGACGUAAUGAUUAAUAGGGAUAGUUGGGGGCAUUAGUAUUCAAUUGUCAGAGGUGAAAUUCUUGGAUUUAUUGAAGACUAACUACUGCGAAAGCAUUUGCCAAGGAUGUUUUCAUUAAUCAAGAACGAAAGUUAGGGGAUCGAAGACGAUCAGAUACCGUCGUAGUCUUAACCAUAAACUAUGCCGACUAGGGAUCGGAUGAUGUUAAUUUUUAAUGUACUCAUUCGGCGCCUUA
RNAcentral lists this ribosomal RNA (520 nucleotides) under uncultured Glomus. RNAcentral's name for it is "SSU rRNA". It matches the Rfam family "Eukaryotic small subunit ribosomal RNA", at positions 569 to 1090 of the family's 1831-position model. The record is from RNAcentral. Lineage: Eukaryota; Fungi; Glomeromycota; Glomeromycetes; Glomerales; Glomeraceae.